Acinonyx jubatus (cheetah) is the source of this 4126-nucleotide long non-coding RNA. RefSeq lists it as uncharacterized. NCBI's taxonomy places the organism in Eukaryota, Metazoa, Chordata, Mammalia, Carnivora, Felidae. The transcript has 2 exons. The record is from RefSeq and is a predicted model, not a curated record.
CUGCAGGGCGGGGAGGGGCUGGGAGCCCAGACAUUCGGUGUUUUAAAACAUACAUUUUCGAUUUCCGUUAUUUUUUGUAGCAGACUCUUCCUUGCCCCCAUAACAUUCCUGGAGUGAAUAUUCAGUGGGGUGGGGGUUUUAUACAGGGAGGCCAUUCUGGGGUACAAAAAUGUUUCACCAGCCUCCAGUAUGAAGGAAAGCCAGGAGACCGUUCUGACCUGCCAUGAUCCAAAAAUGUAAAGUUGCUUACACAGACAAACAGGUGAUUACAUCCAUGGUGGGGCUGUCCUGGCAUUAGAAAACCCAGAUUUUUUAAAUUCACAAAUGCCAGUGUCUGGAUCCUCAUUGGAUUCCAGUGCUCAGUUUGACAACCCAUAUACCAAAAAUUGGAAUGAUAAAAACUGGUGGGGAGAAUCCCUGUUUUCAGGUGAAUAGUCCAAAGCUCAGUGGAUAAGUUACCUGCCCCGUGGUCACACGGGGUAGAGAACCCAGGCACGAAUUUGGCCGUCCUGUUUCCUAAAAUAGAAAGCUCUUUCUACUCUUCUACAACAUUGGGGUUGUGAAGAUUUUCACUUCUUUUAAAAAGGGCUUUGGAGUUCUCAGGUGCCCACGUACCACAUUAAAGGACUUGUAGAAAAGUAACAGCGCCGGAUUUGCAGAUGCCUUUCGCAAGUUUAAGCUUAUCUACCACUCCAGAACUUAAUUCAACCCUUGUCAGACAUACCAGCAAUGUGAAUGAUUUCUCCGUGCAGCUUUGUAAAAGGAAGCUCUGAGAGAGAUCAGGCAUGGGAAAAGAUAGCUCCAGAUUCUUUUUUUUUUAAUAUGAAAUUUAUUGUCAAAUUGGUUUCCACACGACACCCAGUGCUCAUCCCAACAGGUGCCCUCCUCAAUGCCCAUCACCGCCCCCACCUCCCACCCCCCAUCAACCCUCAACUUAUUCUCAGUUUUUAAGAGUCUCUUAUGGUUUGGCUCUCUCCCUCUCUAACUUUUUUUUUUUUUUUUUCCUUUUCCUUCCCCUUCCCCAUGGUCUUCUGUUAAGUUUCUCAGGAUCCACAUAAGAGUGAAAACCUAUGGUAUCUGUCUUUCUCUGUAUGACUUAUUUCACUUAGCAUAACACUCUCCAGUUCCAUCCACGUUGCUACAAAAGGCCAGAUGUCAUUCUUUCUCAUCGCCACAUAGUAUUCCAUUGUGUAUAUAAACCACAAUUUCUUUAUCUACUCAUCAGUUGAUGGACAUUUAGGCUCUUUCCAUCAUUUGGCUAUUUUUGAAAGUGCUGCUGUAAACACUGGGGUACAAGUGCCCCUACACAUCAGCACUCCUGUAUCCCUUGGGUAAAUUCCUAGCAGUGCUAUUGCUGGGUCAUAGGGUAGAUCUAUUUUUAAUUUUUGGAGGAACCUCCACACUGUUUUCCAGAGUGGCUGCACCAAUUUGCAUUCCCACCAACAGUGCAAGAGGGUUCCCGUUUCUCCACAUCCUCUCCAGCAUCUAUAGUCUCCUGAUUUGUUCAUUUUGGCCACUCUGACUGGCUUGGGGUGAUAUCUGAGUGUGGUUUUGAUUUGUAUUUCCCUGAUGAGGAGCGAUGUUGAGCAUCUUUUCAUGUGUCAGUUGGCCAUCUGGAUGUCUUCUUUAGAGAAGGGUCUAUUCAUGUCUUCUGCCCAUUUCUUCACCGGAUUAUUUGUUUUUCAGGUGUGGAGUUUGGUGAGUUCUUUGUAGAUUUUGGAUACUAGCCCUUUGUCUGAUAUGUCGUUUGCAAAUAUCUUUACCCAUUCCGUCGGUUGCCUUUUAGUUUUGUUGAUUUGUUUCCUUUGCAGUGCAGAAGCUUUUUCUCUUCAUGAGGUCCCAAUAGUUCAUUUUUGCUUUUAAUUCCCUUGCCUUUGGAACCAGAUUUUUAUAGAUGUCUGCAACUUAGGACAUUGUUACUUCUUUUUCUUUUUCUUUUUAAGUGCAUAGACAUUGUGGAAAAUAGGGAUAAUCAGACAAAGAACUCACAAAAAAAGGAUAUGAAAUAUAAUAACAUAUACCUAAAACAGGGAGGAGAGGAGAGAAGAAUGGGUUCAAACUUAAAUGACCAUAAACUUAAUAUAGACUGCCGUAUGCAGAUGUUAUAUACAAACCUAAUGGUAACCAUAUAUCAAAACCACGAAUAAAUAUGCAAAGAAUAAAGAGAAAGAAAUCCAAAUAUAUUACUAAACAAAAUUAGCAAAACAUGAAAGGGAGAAAAACAAGAAAGGAUCAGAGAAAAUCUUCAGGAACAACCACAAAACAAGUAAUAAAAUGGCAAUAAAUACAUAUCUAUCAGUAAUUACUUUGAAUGUAAAUGGACUAAAUGCUCCAGUCAAAAGACAUAGGGUGUCAGAACAGAUGAAAAAACAAGACCAUAUAUGUUGCCUACAUCGAUAUGCAGACCUAGAGACACCUGCAGACCAAAAGCACGGGGAUGCAGAACCAUCUAUCAUGCAAAUGGAUGUCAAAAGAAAGCUGAAAUAGCAAUCUUAUACUGGACGAAAUAGACUUUAGAACAAACACCCGUAGGAGCACCUGGGUGCCUCAGUUGGUUGAACUUCAGACUUCGGCUGAGGUCAUGGUCUUGCAGUUUGUGAGUUUGAGCCCCGCAUCAGACUCUGUGCUGACAGCUCAGAGCCUGGAGCCUGCUUCGGAUUCUGUGUCUCCCUCUCUCUCUCUGCCCUGCCCCUCCUUGCAUGUGUGCAUAUGCGCUCUCUCUCUCUCUCUCUCUCUCUCUCAAAAAUAAAUAAACAUUUAAAAAAACAUUUAAACCAAACACUGUAAGGGGUACCUGGGUGGCUCAGUUAGUUGAGCAUCCGACUUCAGCUCAGGUCAUGAUCUCACUACUUGGGAGUUCAAACCCUGCAUCAGACUCGCUGCUGUCAGUGCAGAGUCAGCUUUGGAUCCUGUGUCCCCCUGUCUCUCUGCCCCUCCCCCACUUGCGUUGUCUCUUUCAAAAAAUAAACAUUAAAAAAAAAAUCACUGUAGGGGCGCCUGGGUGGCUCAGUUGGUUAAGCAUCCGACUUUGGCUCAGGUCAUGAUCUCGCCAUUCAGAGUUUGAGCCCCGCGUCAGGCUCUCUGCUGACAGCUCAGAGCCCUGGAGCCUGCUUCCAAUUUUGUGUCUCCCUCUCUCUCUGCCCCUCCACUGCUCAUGCUUUGUCUCUCUCUGUCUCUCAAAACUAAAUAAACAUUAAAAAACAAAAAAAAAAAACCCACACACACUGUAAUAGGACACAAAGAAGGACACUAUGUGUCAUAAAGGGGACAGUCUAACAAGAAGAUACAACAAUUGUAAAUAUUUUUGUACCCAACAUGGGAGUAUCCAUAUAUAUAAAACAGCUAAUAACAAACAUGAAGCAACUAAUUGAUAAUGAUACAGUAAUACUAGGGGCUCUAUCAGUCCACUUACAUCAAUGGACAGAUCAUCUAAACAGAAAAUCAGCAAGGAAACAAGGCUUUAAUGACACACUGAAACAGAUUGAUUUAACAGAUGUAUUCAGAACAUUCCAUCCUAAAAGAGCAAAAUACACAUUCUUUUCAAGUGCACAUAGGACAUUCUCCAGAAUAGAUCACAUAUUAGCCCACAAAACGGGCCUCAGCAAAUACAAGAAGGUUGAUAUCAUACCAUGUACCUUUUCUGCCCACAACACUAUGAAACUAGAAGUCAACCAGAAGAAAAAAAUCUGGAAAGACCAUAGAUACAUGGAGGUUAAAUAACAUACUACUAAACAAGGAAUGGGUUAACCAGGAAAUCAGGAAAUGAAAAAGUAUGUGAAAACAAAUGAAAAUGAAAACACAGCGCUCCAAAACCUCUGCAAUGCAGCAAAAGCAGUUCUAAGAAGGAAGUUUAUAGCAAUAUAGGUCUACCUCAGGAAGCAAGAAAAAUCUCAAACAACCUAAACUUACACCUAAAGGAGCUAGAAGAACAAUAAACAAAACCUAAACCCAGCAGAAGGAAGGAGAUAAUAAAGAUUAGAGCAGAAAUAAAUUAUAUAGAAACUAAAAAAAAAUCAGUAGAACAGAUCAAUGAAACCAGGAGCUGGUUCUUUGAAAAAAACCAAUAAAAUUUAUAAACCUCUAGCCAGAUUUAUCAAGACAAAAAGAGAAAGAACACAAACAAAAU